This 951-nucleotide ribosomal RNA is filed under the name uncultured Sphingobacteriia bacterium. RNAcentral's name for it is "bacterial SSU rRNA". It matches the Rfam family "Bacterial small subunit ribosomal RNA", at positions 367 to 1323 of the family's 1533-position model. Lineage: Bacteria; Pseudomonadati; Bacteroidota; Sphingobacteriia. The record is from RNAcentral.
GUCAUGGGCGGAAGCCUGAACAGCCAUGCCGCGUGCAGGAAGACGGCCCUACGGGUUGUAAACUGCUUUUGCAGGGGAAUAAACCUUCGUAUGUAUACGAAGCUGAAUGUACUCUGAGAAUAAGGAUCGGCUAACUCCGUGCCAGCAGCCGCGGUAAUACGGAGGAUCCAAGCGUUAUCCGGAUUUAUUGGGUUUAAGGGUGCGUAGGCGGCCUAUUAAGUCAGGGGUGAAAGACGGUAGCUUAACUAUCGCAGUGCCUUUGAUACUGAUGGGCUUGAAUGGACUAGAGGUAGGCGGAAUGUGACAAGUAGCGGUGAAAUGCAUAGAUAUGUCACAGAACACCAAUUGCGAAGGCAGCUUACUAUGGUUUAAUUGACGCUGAGGCACGAAAGCGUGGGGAUCAAACAGGAUUAGAUACCCUGGUAGUCCACGCCCUAAACGAUGAACACUCGAUGUUAGCGAUAUACAGUUAGCGUCUAAGCGAAAGCGUUAAGUGUUCCACCUGGGGAGUACGCCCGCAAGGGUGAAACUCAAAGGAAUUGACGGGGGCCCGCACAAGCGGAGGAGCAUGUGGUUUAAUUCGAUGAUACGCGAGGAACCUUACCCGGGCUUGAAAGUUAGUGAAUGAUUCAGAGACGGAUCAGCUCUUCGGAGCACGAAACUAGGUGCUGCAUGGCUGUCGUCAGCUCGUGCCGUGAGGUGUUGGGUUAAGUCCCGCAACGAGCGCAACCCCUAUGUUUAGUUGCCAGCACGUCAAGGUGGGGACUCUAAACAGACUGCCUACGCAAGUAGAGAGGAAGGAGGGGACGACGUCAAGUCAUCAUGGCCCUUACGUCCGGGGCUACACACGUGCUACAAUGGAUGGUACAGAGGGCAGCUACCUGGCAACAGGAUGCAAAUCUCUUAAGCCAUUCACAGUUCGGAUCGGGGGUCUGCAACUCGACCCCGUGA